Molecule: non-coding RNA, 531 nt
Organism: Chinchilla lanigera (long-tailed chinchilla)
Lineage: Eukaryota; Metazoa; Chordata; Mammalia; Rodentia; Chinchillidae
Source: the annotation of a RefSeq genome assembly
GCACUCUAGCCAUGCAUGAAGUGUGUUGCCAGCCACAAGGGGUCACUCCCAGGAAGACUGAGUCUGCUAAGAAGUAAAAUCACAGGAAGGCUUGCUAUGAGGACUGGAACAGCCUCAGCCUUUUGUCACUUGGAUGCGACCAUGGCCACAUGGCUCCUCUGCUGUGUGGCUCUUUGUCUCCUGGGAGCAGGCUUUUCUGAUGAUGAAGUAACCCAGAUACCAAGACAUCUGAUAAAAUGGAAAGGACAGAAAGCAGAGAUGAGUUGUGUCCCUAAAAAAGGACAUAAUGCUCUUUACUGGUAUCAACAAAAGCAGAAUGAAGGGUUGAAGUUUUUGGUUUAUUUUCAGAACAGAGACAUUCUUCAUCAAACAGAUAAUUUCAAAGACCAGUUCUCAGCUGAAUAUCCCCAAGACUCACCCUGCAGCCUGGAAAUCAAGUCAUCUGAACCAGAGGACUCAGCCCUGUACCUCUGUGCUAGCAGUGAGUCCACAGUGCUGAAAUGUUCCUUCCUCUGAAUGCACAAACCCCAU